UACGGAGGGUGCGAGCGUUGUCCGGAAUCAUUGGGCGUAAAGGGCGCGUAGGUGGCCCGGUCAGUUCGUGGUGAAAGCGCGGGGCUCAACCCUGCGUCGGCCAUGAAUACUGCCGCGGCUGGAGCACUGUAGAGGCAGGCGGAAUUCCGGGUGUAGCGGUGGAAUGCGUAGAGAUCCGGAAGAACACCGGUGGCGAAGGCGGCCUGCUGGGCAGUUGCUGACACUGAGGCGCGAAAGCCAGGGGAGCGAACGGG
This 254-nucleotide ribosomal RNA is filed under the name uncultured bacterium. RNAcentral's name for it is "partial 16S ribosomal RNA". It matches the Rfam family "Bacterial small subunit ribosomal RNA", at positions 524 to 776 of the family's 1533-position model. The record is from RNAcentral.